AGACUCCUACGGGAGGCAGCAGUGGGGAAUUUUGGACAAUGGGGCGCAAGCCUGAUCCAGCCAUGCCGCGUGUCUGAAGAAGGCCUUCGGGUUGUAAAGGACUUUUGUCAGGGGAGACAAAACUUACUGGUUUAAUACCUGGUGAGGUUGAGAGUACCUGAAGAAUAAGCACCGGCUAACUACGUGCCAGCAGCCGCGGUAAUACGUAGGGUGCAAGCGUUAAUCGGAAUUACUGGGCGUAAAAGCGUGCGCAGGCGGACUUUUAAGCCAGAUGUGAAAGCCCCGAGCUUAACUUGGGAAUUGCGUUUGGAACUGGGAGUCUAGAGUCUGUCAGAGGGGGGAUGGAAUUCCACGUGUAGCAGUGAAAUGCGUAGAGAUGUGGAGGAACACCGAUGGCGAAGGCAGUCCCCUGGGAUAAGA
RNAcentral lists this ribosomal RNA (420 nucleotides) under uncultured bacterium. RNAcentral's name for it is "bacterial SSU rRNA". It matches the Rfam family "Bacterial small subunit ribosomal RNA", at positions 333 to 739 of the family's 1533-position model. The record is from RNAcentral.